Molecule: ribosomal RNA, 274 nt
Filed under: uncultured bacterium
Lineage: Bacteria
Description: partial 16S ribosomal RNA
Rfam family: Bacterial small subunit ribosomal RNA
Source: RNAcentral
AUACGGAGGGUGCAAGCGUUGUCCGGAUUUAUUGGGUUUAAAGGGUGCGUAGGCGGUCAAUUAAGUCAGUGGUGAAAUCCUAUAGCUUAACUAUAGAACUGCCAUUGAUACUGGUUGACUUGAGUACAGACGAGGUAGGCGGAAUUUAUGGUGUAGCGGUGAAAUGCAUAGAUACCAUAAAGAACACCGAUAGCGAAGGCAGCUUACUGGACUGUAACUGACGCUGAGGCACGAAAGCAUGGGUAGCGAACAGGAUUAGAUACCCUAGUAGUCC